RNAcentral lists this ribosomal RNA (827 nucleotides) under Aquatica lateralis (Japanese firefly). RNAcentral describes it as "partial 16S rRNA". The record is from RNAcentral. Lineage: Eukaryota; Metazoa; Arthropoda; Insecta; Coleoptera; Lampyridae.
AAAUUCUCUUAUUAUUUAUUUAUUGGUUAAUUUUUAAUUAAUAAAUUUUAGUAUGAAAUAUUUAAAGGGAUAAGCUUUUAUUUAUAUAAUUAAAAAUUUCGUUUAUUUUAUUUUUUGUAUAAUUUAGAUUGUUAAUCAUAUGAAUAAUUUAAUAUUUAAUUUUAUUUUAUUUUAGAUUUAUAUUAAUUUUAAUUUUUAUAUUAAAAAUUUUUGUUUAACUUUAUUUCUUUAGUUAUAAUGAUUAAAUUAGUAGAUAAAUAUGUAUAUCUUAUUUAUUUUUUUAGGUAGUAAAAAGGAACUCGGCAAAUUGAUUUUCUGCCUGUUUAUUAAAAACAUGUCUUUUUGAUUAUAAUUUAAGGUUUAAUCUGCUCAAUGAAUUAUUAAAUUGCCGCAGUAUUUUGACUGUGCAAAGGUAGCAUAAUAAUUAGCUUUUUUAUUGAGAGCUGGAAUGAAUGAUUGGACAAGAAAAUUUCUGUCUCUUUAUUAUUAUUAUUGAAUUUUACUUUUAAGUUAAAAGGCUUAAAUUUUUUUAAAAGACGAGAAGACCCUAUAGAGUUUAAUUUUUUGUUAUUUAAAAUUUAUUGGUAUUUAGAAAAUUUUAUUUAUUAAAUAAUUUGGUUGGGGUGACAAAAAGAUAAAAUAAACUCUUUUAAUUAUAAUCAAUUAUAUUUGAAUUUUAAAUCUAUAUUUAUAAGUUUAAAAUAAAUUACCUUAGGGAUAACAGCGUAAUUUUUCUUUAGAGUUCUUAUUAAAAGAGAAGUUUGCGACCUCGAUGUUGGAUUAAAAUUUAUUUUAGGUGUAGAAGCUUAAAUAUUGAGUCUGUUCGA